RNAcentral lists this long non-coding RNA (534 nucleotides) under Marmota monax (woodchuck). The record is from RNAcentral. Lineage: Eukaryota; Metazoa; Chordata; Mammalia; Rodentia; Sciuridae.
CUUAAGUGCCUCCAUCAUGGUAUUUUAACUAGAUUCCUUAUCCUAAUGUCUUAUCGCUCACUUUUCUCCAAAGUGUACAUGUUGCAAAAGCCAAAGUGGUAACUCAGUAGAAUAGGCUCAGGAUGUCUGGUUUGCUGAUGUAUUUCCAGGGAAAUUCAUCAGAGUGUUUUGAAAUACACCUCUUACUUUAACAAAAGCCGUUAAGUUCUGAAAUUCACAGUAAAGGCAAGGAAACCAUUUACCAGGUUGGAAGCCUAUUUCUGGUUGAUUCAAGGGGUUUGGAGAUUCAAAUUAGAUUCCAUAGUGAACUCAACUGCAAGAAAUUAAGGAAUUUUUAAACAAUGGAAAUAUUGCUCAACACAUGUUUUUAGUUUGUUUUUAAAUGCUUCAUUCUUUAACAUUGUAAGAUUUCCAAUAAAGGAAAAAAGAACCAAGUGACCAAAACAGUUAAAGUUAGUAUUAACUAUUGAGAAUUAAGAAUGUUUCUUUAAAUUUAAGUCAUUAUAUCCUGCAAUUUUGUUUAUUUUUGUAAAG